Molecule: long non-coding RNA, 1171 nt
Filed under: Cricetulus griseus (Chinese hamster)
Lineage: Eukaryota; Metazoa; Chordata; Mammalia; Rodentia; Cricetidae
Description: lncRNA (ENSCGRG00015032334.1)
Source: RNAcentral
UCACUCACCCACACACGGCAAUUACCGCAGGUCCCGCCCAUGGCCCCGCCACUUCCGCUGGCCGCAGGCUCCACCGCCUCCUGGAUCAAGCUCAGAACGCAUCGCCCGCAUCACCGACGCUGCCGCCCAAGGGACGGACCCGCUCUGUGACGCGCUUCCGCUUCCGGUCUGCAGAACGCCGCCCUGGGACACGGUGCCGCCCUCGCUGUGUGAUGCCAGCGCCCGCGUGAGGCACUGCACACCAGACUUCCGGUUGGCUUCAGCUCGCCAGCACUGCAGACUUCCGGUCUGCCAUCGGGGAUCGCGGGGAAAUAGAGUCGGGAAUUUCGCUUUCAAGUUCCAGUGCGCCCUACUUCCGCUUGGCUUCAGGUCGCCAGCACUAGCGAGUUCCCGUCCCAUUCUGGCUUCCCCUACAGAGACGGGAAUGGGGCUUCUGAGACUCACGAUUCCCAACUUCCGGUUGGCUUCGGCUUGCCAGCACUAACGACUUCCGGAGUCCUGGUAAUGGAUGGGAACGGCGCGCGGCUGGCUUCCAGCGACCGGAAUUUCACUGGAAUCUCAGGACGCCCGACUUCCGCUUGGCUUCAGGUCGCCAGCGCAACCCGGUUCCCGUCAAGUCUGGCUCGGUGCAAAAGCAGCUCCCGGUUUCCAGUGACUGCUGCUCAGUCCCAGCAUUCCAGUCUUCCGGUCGGCUUCAGCACGCCCAUACUACCGACUUCCGGUUACGGACAAGCGGCUCCGCGCAUGCAAGAAGAACGACCGCUUUUGACGGGAACUCGGCUUGUGAGUCCUGGGAUUCCCGACUUCCCUUUGGCUUCGGAUGCCAGCACUAUCGACUUCCGGUCCGAUCUCAGAGACCGCCGAACCAGCAGCGCUACGGCCACAGGUCUUCCAGUUCCGGAAAGGCUCCGCGAGCACCGCCGCGAAUCCCGCGUGAGAAACGCACGGCUCCCCGCUUCUGGUGCGUUACCAAAUCCUUCUGGGAGGGGAGGGGGGGCGGCACUGGGGUCGGAAACCUCGGUUCCGCUUCCACCGCGACUCAUUUACCGCUCCUGAGACUCACACUUCCAGCCUGUGCCCUGAGCUUCCCGUCCGUCCCCGCAACAGCGCUGCGCAGCAACAAGGUUCCACUCCCGACCGGCACCCGGAAACGGUCUGUGCAGAGAUGGGG